This 533-nucleotide unclassified non-coding RNA is filed under the name Hevea brasiliensis (rubber tree). Lineage: Eukaryota; Viridiplantae; Streptophyta; Magnoliopsida; Malpighiales; Euphorbiaceae. The record is from RNAcentral.
GAUUUGAUGUCUCUGUGAUAAAUUGGUGGAUUCAUGGCAGAAUGGAGAUGGGCAAUCGCAUUAGCAGUUUCAGCAGCAAUGGUGAGCCGUAUUGUCCAAGGAAGCCCUAUGCCCCUCUCUCUUUGUAAAUGCUGACACNGACACAGGGUUCCAUUAGGCAUAAAUUCAUAGACAAGGAUUGGUUCACCCUCCUCUAUGCAGCAACCUAAGAGGCGGACCAAAUUUGGAUGGCUAACAGAGGAAAGGAGCUUAAUUUCAUUCAUGACUUGAUCAAUGCUAUCAGUAUCUCUAUGUCGGAUCNNNNNNNNNNNNCAAUCAUCAUUGUGGAGUUUUCCUGCAUAAACUGUACCAUAGGCUCCAGUUCCCAGCCUUUGUUUCUCUGAGAAGCCAUUGGUGGCUUUUUCAAUUUCUCUAUAUGCGUAAAAGGGAACACUAGAAUUGCCUGCAGCUUCACAUAGAAGUCGCUUUGCACUCAACCUGUUUCUCAAAGAAGUGGAUCGCCGUCGAACAAAGUAACAGAUAAGGGCCAGACC